RNAcentral lists this ribosomal RNA (505 nucleotides) under uncultured bacterium. Its description in RNAcentral is "partial 16S ribosomal RNA". It matches the Rfam family "Bacterial small subunit ribosomal RNA", at positions 28 to 507 of the family's 1533-position model. The record is from RNAcentral.
GACGAACGCUGGCGGCGUGCCUAAUACAUGCAAGUAGAACGCACAGUUUAUACCGUAGCUUGCUACACCAUAAACUGUGAGUUGCGAACGGGUGAGUAACGCGUAGGUAACCUGCCUGGUAGCGGGGGAUAACUAUUGGAAACGAUAGCUAAUACCGCAUAAUAUUAAUUAUUGCAUGAUAAUUGAUUGAAAGAUGCAAUUGCAUCACUACCAGAUGGACCUGCGUUGUAUUAGCUAGUAGGUGAGGUAACGGCUCACCUAGGCGACGAUACAUAGCCGACCUGAGAGGGUGAUCGGCCACACUGGGACUGAGACACGGCCCAGACUCCUACGGGAGGCAGCAGUAGGGAAUCUUCGGCAAUGGACGAAAGUCUCACCGAGCAACGCCGCGUGAGUGAAGAAGGUUUUCGGAUCGUAAAGCUCUGUUGUAAGAGAAGAACGGGUGUGAGAGUGGAAAGUUCACACUGUGACGGUAUCUUACCAGAAAGGGACGGCUAACUACGUG